This 468-nucleotide ribosomal RNA is filed under the name uncultured bacterium. Its description in RNAcentral is "partial 16S ribosomal RNA". It matches the Rfam family "Bacterial small subunit ribosomal RNA", at positions 28 to 507 of the family's 1533-position model. The record is from RNAcentral.
GACGAACGCUGGCGGCGGGCUUAACACAUGCAAGUCGAACGGAACGGCCCGGCUUUUGUGGGCGGCUCGAUUGGCCAAGGGGUGGGUAACACGUGAGUAACCUGCCCUUGACUUUGGGAUAACUUUAGGAAACUUGGCCUUUUACCGGAUAGGAUCUCCGGCUGCAUGGGGGCGGUGGGAAAGUUUCGGCGGUUGGGGAUAGACUCGCAGCUUAUCAGCUUGUUGAUGUGGUAGUGGCUUACCAAGGCUUUGCCGUGUAGCCGGCCUGGGAGGAUAACCGGACCAACUGGGUCUGAGCUGCGGCCCAGCCUCCUCCCGGAGGCGACGGUGCGGAAUAUUGCACUAUAGGCGGAACCCUGAUCCAGUCCAGCCGCGUGCGGGAAGACGGCCUUCGGGUUGUAUACUGCUUCCGUCUGUCCCGAGACGAGAAUGACGGUAAUGGGUAAAGAAGCACCGGCUAACUACGUG